CAGAAUCAUCAAAUUUUGAAAAAUAAAAAUCGUCUACUUAACAACAUACAGUUAAAAAGUUUGGUUUCUACUUGAAAAAAAUUGAAUGUUGUUCCAAUUUCUCAAUUUCAACAUUUGAACACAUACAUUAUAUACAAAAAAAUCAGCUGUGAAUAGUGAGCAUGCUUGGUGAAUCCUGUCUAUAAACAUUAAAAUAUUAUUAUAUUCAUAAAUAUGCUGCAUUGAGGAUUCCAAAAAUCAAAGUCACCACACCACUCGCACAAUUAUAGCGCAUGCGGCGUCAGUGGCGUUCGUAGGAUUUUUUAAGGGGGGUGUCAUACUUCAUAAUAAUAUACACAAAUUUAUCUUUUUUUUGUAUUUUUGCUCGUCACUAAAAAAUCAUCUACCAUUAUGUUAUGAUAGAAUAGUCAAUACAAAUAAAAUAAAAUAAAACAUUUAUACAUCUAUAUACAUAAAAAUGGAGUCAAAAAUCUAUAACAAUUCAUCAACUGAGAACUGCUGGGCCGAUUUGGCUCAACAUUUUUUUUAAUUGUUAACUGUAAUUUCCAGUAGAAGGGUUUUAGGAAAAAAAUUUUGGUCAAAAAUCUAAUAAUAUGGAUAAUGGGCUCUUUAACUAUAUUAUCAUGCGGAUAUUGUUUUACUUAUGUUGAUUUAAGUAUUAACGUACCAUAUAACAGAGCAUACAUUAAACAAUAUAAGAAAAAUUUUGAACGUUGCUCAUUAAAAUAAAAUCCAGUAUAAAAUUUAUGUUCAACAAUGCUAAAAUCUAUAAUAUUAUCCUGGAUUCACAAUAUACGUACAUCAGUCAGCCUAAAUAACAAUUUAACAAUACCUAUUUAUUAUGUACUAUCUUUGAAUAAAUUCAAACAGCAGAAAUGUGUGUACGUCUAGCAAUGUCUAGUUAAUGUUAGUUUAACUUAUUAAAUAAAAAUAUAUAGUUGAUGGGGAGGAAAUAGCUCUGUUGAUGAAUAAUAAAUGUAAAUAAAUAAAUCUGCAGCACAGUUCAAUUGCAGCAGCCAUCAGGUUCAUAUCCUUGUUGUUGAAUACUGUCGAAAGUUGGAGACGAAUUCGAAUUAAUUAAUAAAAUCAAUCUGCUUACACAUUAUAACAUGGAUGUAGUGUAGGUACUUUUUUAUUUAUACAAACCUUGCUCGGCGCCAACAACCGUCCCUCGGGAUCGAAUAUAUUUUCUAGAUCUUGAAGUCGUUAUUCAGAACGUACAAUAUUUUCGUUUGCAUACUUACGUAUAGAAUUUAGACAAUAAUAAACUUUUUUUCGAUAUCAUAUUUUUGAGAGCUGUAUAAUUGUAGCUAAUAUAAUAAAUUUGAUGUAUUAUUAUUAUGUUUAAUAGUCACAUUUAAUUUUUUUCUCGUGAACUAAGACUAAAAUAGUAAACAGCUGUCUUAAAUUAUUGUCUUAACAUACUAACAAUUUACAAAAAAUAAUAAACUCAUGUUACUAUACGUACAUAAAAUCCUCUAUACAUAUAAACAUUUUAUUGUUAUUAAUUACAACGGCUGCAAAGGCCAUUGUAAUUACAAUAAUUUAAAUAUAUACAGUUCUAUAAUAGUAGGGAGCUGUGUUGCGAUAAUUAUCAUCUAAAUUUGGUUGAAAAGGUGUGUUUUUCUUAAGAAGAUGAUCAUGUUGUUGAUGUCUUUAAGUAUAUUUUGUUUCUGAACUACGACACUUUUUUUAUUUUGAGUUUCUUAUUUUGAAGCAACACGUUUUUCUGUAAUAAGUAAUUCCAUAUUCGCCUAAAAAGUGUUUACAUUUACAACGAAUAACGAUGAUCAUCAAAAUAUAAAAUAUAUCAUGCGCUCAUUGAAAAAUAAUCACACAAAAUGUUAAUGUUUGUUCAGAAACAGUUCAAAUAUGAUUGAACAACAUUACUAUAAGUAUGAUGUCAAUAA
Molecule: long non-coding RNA, 1910 nt
Organism: Myzus persicae (green peach aphid)
Lineage: Eukaryota; Metazoa; Arthropoda; Insecta; Hemiptera; Aphididae
Exons: 2
Source: RefSeq, a predicted model, not a curated record